GAGGAAUGUAUAGCAAUAGCUACUUGCAUCAUUGUAGAUAUGAUGUAAGAUCGACUAUGUUGAAUAAAAUUCUAGGUAGAAUUAUGAUAAUGACAUUGUCUGCCUAUGUGUCUUGACCAAAUUACGUGCCAGCAGUCGCGGUAAUACGUAGAAGACUAGUGUUAUUCAUGUUUAAUCGGUUUAAAGGGUACCUAGACGGUAGAUCAAGCUUUCUAAUAAAUGAAAAGGACUAAUUUACUAGAGUUACUUAUGAGGGGGUAUUAAAGUACUGCUGGUGUAGAGAUGAAAUUCUGUCAUACCUCUUUUCAAAAGAAAAACCAUGGCACAGGUAUAGGCGAAGGCAUCCCCUUAUGUGAUAACUGACGUUGAAGGACGAAGGCUUUGUGUAGCGAACAGGAUUAGAUACCCCAGUAGUCGAAGCAGAAAAUGAUGAAUGUCAUAGAUUAGAUGUAUAAGUUUAUUCUAUAAAUGAAAGUGUAAGCAUUCCACCUCAUGAGUAAUUUGGCAACAUUGGAACUGAAAUCAUUAGACCGUUUCUGAAACCAGUAGUGAAGUAUGUUGUUUAAUUUGAUGAUCCGCAAAAAACCUUACCACAAUUUGAAUAUUUAUAUUUUUUUUAUUGUUUUUUUCUUAAUAGAUAAAUAAUUAAAGAAAAAAAUCAAAAAAGGAAGAAAAUUAAGAAAGAGGCAAUAAGAUAUAUUUACAAGCGUUGCACGGCUGUCUUCAGUUAAUGUCGCGAGACUUUGGUUAGUUCCAUUAAAUUAACGUAAACCCUUACUUUAUUUUUAUAUAGAGUAGUUCCCCGCUAUAUUGGAUAUGAU
RNAcentral lists this ribosomal RNA (821 nucleotides) under Xanthoparmelia subincerta. RNAcentral's name for it is "partial small subunit ribosomal RNA". It matches the Rfam family "Bacterial small subunit ribosomal RNA", at positions 356 to 1146 of the family's 1533-position model. Lineage: Eukaryota; Fungi; Ascomycota; Lecanoromycetes; Lecanorales; Parmeliaceae. The record is from RNAcentral.